RNAcentral lists this long non-coding RNA (286 nucleotides) under Bos taurus (domestic cattle). RNAcentral describes it as "long non-coding RNA NONBTAT002853". The record is from RNAcentral. Lineage: Eukaryota; Metazoa; Chordata; Mammalia; Artiodactyla; Bovidae.
GAGAAGGGGGAAAGAUAAACGAAGAAUAGAGACAUAGCUUAUGGGGAGCUUAGCUCUUUAUUUUGUUGGCCUGUAUAUUUUUCAUUCCUGAAAAACUGGAAUUUGCAAGAGGUGCUGUGAUAACCCUUCUCCAGCCCUGUAAUGCUCAUAUAAUCUGAGAAAGAGAAGGAAGGUGUAUCCAUUCUGAGAGUGUAUGUUAAGAGCUGAAGGGGAACUACUUGAGAUGACUUAAGAAUCAUCCCAUGCAAAUACAUUGUUUUGCUCCAAUAAAAUACUCGAGAAGCUG